Molecule: ribosomal RNA, 403 nt
Filed under: uncultured bacterium
Lineage: Bacteria
Description: partial 16S ribosomal RNA
Rfam family: Bacterial small subunit ribosomal RNA
Source: RNAcentral
GACGAACGCUGGCGGCGUGCCUAAUACAUGCAAGUCGAACGCAGUGGGGACGGGUGAGUAACACGUGGGUAACCUCCCAUCAGAGGGGAUAACACUUCGAAACAGGUGCUAAACCGAUCCGGAUGGAUGAACCCGCGGUGCAUUAGCUAGUUGGUGAGGUAACGGCUCACCAAGGCCACGAUGCCUCGCCAUCCGGAGAGGGUGAUCAGCCACACUGGGACUGAGAAACGGCCCAGACUCCUACGGGAGGCAGCAGUAGGGAAUCUUCGGCAAUGGACGAAAGUCUGACCGAGCAACGCCGCGUGAGUGAAGAAGGGUUUCGGAUCGUAAAACUCUGUUGUUAGAGAAGCGGUAUCUAACCAGAAAGCCACGGCUAACUACGUGCCAGCCGCCGCGGUAAUAC